Molecule: ribosomal RNA, 570 nt
Filed under: Vibrio sp.
Lineage: Bacteria; Pseudomonadati; Pseudomonadota; Gammaproteobacteria; Vibrionales; Vibrionaceae
Description: bacterial SSU rRNA
Rfam family: Bacterial small subunit ribosomal RNA
Source: RNAcentral
CGCAAGAUUAAAACUCAAAUGAAUUGACGGGGGCCCGCACAAGCGGUGGAGCAUGUGGUUUAAUUCGAUGCAACGCGAAGAACCUUACCUACUCUUGACAUCCAGAGAACUUUCCAGAGAUGGAUUGGUGCCUUCGGGAACUCUGAGACAGGUGCUGCAUGGCUGUCGUCAGCUCGUGUUGUGAAAUGUUGGGUUAAGUCCCGCAACGAGCGCAACCCUUAUCCUUGUUUGCCAGCGAGUAAUGUCGGGAACUCCAGGGAGACUGCCGGUGAUAAACCGGAGGAAGGUGGGGACGACGUCAAGUCAUCAUGGCCCUUACGAGUAGGGCUACACACGUGCUACAAUGGCGCAUACAGAGGGCGGCCAACUUGCGAGAGUGAGCGAAUCCCAAAAAGUGCGUCGUAGUCCGGAUCGGAGUCUGCAACUCGACUCCGUGAAGUCGGAAUCGCUAGUAAUCGUGGAUCAGAAUGCCACGGUGAAUACGUUCCCGGGCCUUGUACACACCGCCCGUCACACCAUGGGAGUGGGCUGCAAAAGAAGUAGGUAGUUUAACCUUCGGGAGGACGCUUA